GACGAACGCUGGCGGCGUGCUUAACACAUGCAAGUCGAACGGAAAGGCCCUGCUUUUGUGGGGUGCUCGAGUGGCGAACGGGUGAGUAACACGUGAGUAACCUGCCCUUGACUUUGGGAUAACUUCAGGAAACUGGGGCUAAUACCGGAUAGGAGCUCCUGCUGCAUGGUGGGGGUUGGAAAGUUUCGGCGGUUGGGGAUGGACUCGGGGCUUAUCAGCUUGUUGGUGGGGUAGUGGCUUACCAAGGCUUUGACGGGUAGCCGGCCUGAGAGGGUGACCGGCCACAUUGUGACUGAGAUACGGCCCAGACUCCUACGGGAGGCAGCAGUGGGGAAUAUUGCACAAUGGGCGGAAGCCUGAUGCAGCAACGCCGCGUGCGGGAUGACGGCCUUCGGGUUGUAAACCGCUUUCGCCUGUGACGAAGCGUGAGUGACGGUAAUGGGUAAAGAAGCACCGGCUAACUACGUG
RNAcentral lists this ribosomal RNA (468 nucleotides) under uncultured bacterium. RNAcentral's name for it is "partial 16S ribosomal RNA". It matches the Rfam family "Bacterial small subunit ribosomal RNA", at positions 28 to 507 of the family's 1533-position model. The record is from RNAcentral.